This 309-nucleotide small nuclear RNA is filed under the name Octodon degus (degu). RNAcentral describes it as "7SK RNA (ENSODEG00000023913.1)". It matches the Rfam family "7SK RNA". From Rfam's summary of the family: 7SK was discovered as an abundant small nuclear RNA in the mid-70s but a possible function has only recently been suggested. Two independent studies have found that 7SK RNA binds the CDK9/cyclin T complex (known as elongation factor P-TEFb). The record is from RNAcentral. Lineage: Eukaryota; Metazoa; Chordata; Mammalia; Rodentia; Octodontidae.
GAAUAUGAGGGCGAUCUGGCUGCAACAUCUGUCACCCUACUGAUUUCCAGGGUUGAUUCAGAUGAUUUGGCUGGCUAGGCAGGUGUCUCCUUCCUCCUUCACUGCUCCAUCUGUUUCCCUCCUGAAGCUGUGCCCUCUGCCAAAGAAGAGCACCACUCCACUUCUCGGUCAGGGAUACGAAUGAGUAGCUGCACUUCCUUACUAGAACCUAUAAACAAGUUCUCAAGAAUAUAUGAGAAGUCUAUGUAGUUAAAAAUGGUUAAACGUCCAACACAAAAAGCUAAGAAGUAGAAAUACAACUACUUGCUU